CUAUACUUCUAGCUAGCAUAUGCUAUUGUAGUAGGGCUGCUGGACUUCAAUCAAACAAGGGUAAAUCAGUCUCCAGGUGAACCGGUGCUGUGCAGCAUACGAAGAGCUAUAUUUCAGCCAUUUAGAGUAUCUGUAAAUUAUCAUGGACAAAAUUUCUUUCACACAUCAUAUCCUAUUAAACAGGAUUCAGCUGAUUUCAAGAUUUAUAUUUAUUUUCUGAGUGCAUUAGAUAUUGUCAUGGAAUAGGCUGAGUUAUUUUAUUAGGUUGGAUCAGGUUUAAUGUUCCCAUAGUACUCCAAUCAAUUACCUGGUACUGGCAGUACCCUGAACUGAUUUUUUACAAUAUGAGAAAGUGUUCUCAUAUCUUUUGUUCACAGCCAUUUUGCUAUGCCGGCAACAGUCCUCACUGUGAUGAGAAAGGCUGGCAUACACCUUCCCUCCUAUUCUAGAAGUGAGGAACACACUAGUAUCUGUGAUUGUGCUUCACUUCUGCAGUAUGUCUAGAACAUUGGAGCUGUUUUUCAGUGAAGCCAAGACCAUCCAUCCCCAUAAUGGUCUUUAACAGAGGACACACACACACCCCAAGGAGCCAUCCCAGUUCUUUUGGACUGUCCGGUAGAACUAAAUGUAUAUUCCACCUAAGGCUUCCACAGCCAGCAUUUACACUACAGUAUGUGGGAGAUCUUUUCAAGUUCAGUCGACCAAUCACAUCAGUCCCUCUUGUAUCCUCACUUAUCUACAAAUGAACCUUUUCCUAGUCAGUAACCACCAAGGCUCUGGAUGUCUGCAGAAAAAGCAACAUCCCAACAAAAAAAAAUAAAAAAGCAUAAAUGUAGACAGCUUCAGAUGGCAUUGCUACUCAUCAGAAAACACAAAGAGUUUCCGUAUGUUCACAACCAAAUGUCCUUGAAUUCCUUAGGGUAGUGGACAAGCUGUCCUCAGUCAUGCUCUAUGGGUACUGAAUUUGGUGUCUGUGCGUUUUGUAGAACCACAGUUUAAGUCAGUGGUGACUUUUUUGCUGCUACACUUACCUUUAUUCACGUCUUCUGUUGCUGCAAAAAUGUCUGCCCAGACAGCAAACCUGAUUUUUCCUACAUAACAUUCUUGCUUAAAAAACCUGUCUUUUGAAAUCCAUUCUAAGUUUAUUCCCAAAGUGUUUUCUGAGAUUAGUUUAACCCAGAAAUUAAUUUACCUAUUUCCUUCCCUAAAUCUUAUGUAUUUAGGACCAUAUUAUCUUGGCUGCCAGCCAUCAGUAACACUGCACAUAAGGGAAAAGCAAGGAAGAGCUUCUCUAUGUUUCUUUGCUGUCUCAGAACUGCUAAGAUAAAUCUAAAGCUGUGCUCAAAGUAAAAGUAACGAAGCAAUCUCACAUAGGGUUCACAUACCCCACUAAUCAGUUUAAUAAAAAUAAGUUAUGAAAAAUGUGUUCUAUCACGAGAAUAUUCUUCAGUAGAAUUUACUGUAUCCAGCCCUGUCAAGAAAUGUCCCUGUCCCUGGUAUUUCUAACAGGAGCUCACUGAAAUGUGUUGUCUUUUUGCAUAUUUACUUCCUUUUCCACUCUAUCUUCUCCCCAGAAAACUUUUGGCGUCAGGAGUUUGAGUAAACGCUGAGACUGCUCCAGUAUUGCAUCGCACCCUAUAGGGCUGAGAUCCUCCAUUCACACAGACAACUACAGAUGCAGAUAUUUUCUGCUGGUCUUAUGUAUUUGUUGCUGGACAUGCAAAGAACCAAAACUUCAGUGUUCAGAGAACUUCUAGAAAAAUUCUACCAAGAAUACCUUGCACUUCAGCAAAAUGUUGUGGGAGUUUAGUCUACAAGCAGCUGCUAUGUCAGUUUGAAUUUAGUUUCUGUCCUCAGAGCGUAUUUCAGUAUAUGCUUCUGUAUUCUUACAUGGAGAUAAUUGUUUAACUGUGCGGUAAAUAAGUUUAACAGAAAACACUGAAUAAGGAAAAAUUAAUAUAUAAAGAAGAUAGAAAACUGGAAAAGAAGGAGAAAUUAACUAGACACAAAAUAUGUAAAUUAUAUUUUGUUAACAUUCUUUCUAUUAGGGAAUGGACACAGGGGACCAUGAAGAAAAGUAGGUAUAAUAAAAAAAUAGUGACAUAAUUUUGACAAAUGUGCACGUGGGAACCUGAAGAAUGUGAGAGGUAGAAAUUCCUAUUUUUAGCUCUAACAACUGUGUAUUCAGCAGCACUUCAGGACAAACUUAGAUUAGCCUGAUAGCAUUUCAAAUUCCUUUGGGUCUUUGCAAGAUUUAUCUCCUGUAAAAAAUAUAGAGAACCUUUUACAUGUUUCUACUCCACAGAGAAUACAACGCGCUCCUGUAGUUGAAAUAUUCCAAAAUGAACCCAUGCAGCCGACUGUCUCCUGUUUGAUACUUUAGCUGCAUGUUUGUAGAAUUGCAGUGUGCUGUAAAAGUUUUGUGAGUUGACUGUAAGCACCUCCUAUUGAACAGUCUCAUUUCAAAAUUCAUUCCUUCGUUGGUUGUCACAAUUCUUUAUGAGAUACAGAUUACCUUAAUUUUAUCAUAAAUAGUUUUAUGAGCAUUAAAGCCUGCCAUCAGGAGUGGUUUCUGACGUACCAUGUUUUGUUAGAUGUGUGUAUACCUCCAUCUUAGAUAAUAUUAAAACCUCACUAAGUUUCUUCUUUGCAAAGUUUAGGAUGACACAAAUAUAAACAAACACAUUUAAAGAAACACAUUUACUGCGUACACAGAGAGAAUGAUAUAAUUUAUGUUACAGCCAACAGCGUUAAUGUCUUAGCAACUAUUUUUCAGACAGUUGCCUCAUUAGGGGCACCCACCAACCAUCAGUCAGGUCUCAGAUCUCAGUUAACCUUUUAAAGUUAAGUUCAGAGUUUUUCUACUACAAUCCAAACUUCUGUUUUGUUUCUAGUAAUUUUGUUAGCUGGGUAUCCUCGUGGUAGAUAUUCUUCUCACUUUCGAGGGGGAAAAAAACACAUUUUUGUGUAUUCAUAAGUUUCAAGGCAAGUUUACUCAGUCAUGUUAUUGUCUUAAGCAUGCUGCAAACAUCUGGUCACUCUGAUUUAUAGAAGGAGUUUCUGACGAAAGGCGAGUAAAACAUGUUUAGAAAGACAACAAAAUAGCCAAUAAAUUAUAAUAUACAUAAUUUAGAGAAAAAAAUUAAUGUCUAGGUAUAAAUAGUUGCAAAUCAACAAAUUACAAUAUUUAAGAAUGUUAUUAGUUAAGAUUUUUUGGUUGAAUGGUUUUCACUUGUGAAGCAAAAUCUUUCCAAAUGUCUUCUUUUCUGCCACUAGAGGGUACUCCAAGAACUUAGAGUGUAUAACAGAGAUUUAUUUGGGUUUUCUAAUCUGUAAAUUACGGAGUACUGUUGUCAUACUAAACCUUAAGAAUGCAACACCCCAAAGUCUUGAUACUAAACAGCAACUUUCAAAACCAGUCUAAUAUAUUUUUUCAGCAAAAUAGUGUGGCAUACCUGAAUUAUAAGGAACACUGAAUGACAUGUAGUUUAGAUUUAGUUACACUUAUCUUACUUUUAAAUUAUCUAAAUUAUUAUCUUUUCUUUAUUUCAGACACAAUUAUCUGGUUCACAUUCUGUUUCUUCUUCCAGACUUGGACAAGGCGUUCCGUCAUUAGCAGGGUGAAGAACUACAAAACGAGUUCUGAUCUUGGUCCCCAUUUUUCUGCAAGGACCUCUGCAGAGACCCCAGGAAGACCAUUGUGAAACUUCACAGUCCAGUGGUGUUUCUGCAAAAUACACAAUAAAAAGACUUUCCAGGUUUGCAGAAAACAUGUCAUCUUCUUGCUUGCAAUCUUUUUGGACGGACUGCCAGAGGACUGCCUCUAUGUCAACUGCUUCAGGUUCCUACCAGAAGACUGUGAUGCCGAAUAGACGAAAUGCUUUUAAAAAAUACCUUGGAUUCCUACUAACAGUUUGGAUUUUCUGGUGACUUUACAGUUCUCUGUUCUUAUUAAUGCCUCUAAGCUAUACAAAUGAACUGAUUCCAACACUGGAAAAGCUCUAUCAAAUACACUUUAAAUGAGAAGCAUG
Long non-coding RNA from Gallus gallus (chicken), 4031 nucleotides. RefSeq lists it as uncharacterized. The record is from RefSeq and is a predicted model, not a curated record. The transcript is spliced from 2 exons. Lineage: Eukaryota; Metazoa; Chordata; Aves; Galliformes; Phasianidae.